Molecule: long non-coding RNA, 2176 nt
Organism: Cottoperca gobio
Lineage: Eukaryota; Metazoa; Chordata; Actinopteri; Perciformes; Bovichtidae
Exons: 3
Source: RefSeq, a predicted model, not a curated record
UAAAACAUAUCCUGAUCAAAGACGACACACGAACAGAUAAACAAGGGCAAAGCUUUAUGUUUACAUAUUUAUUCAAAGUGCUAAGUGUUUCUUUAUUGUCUCUAUAGACGCUGUGUCUUUAACUUGUAGUUCAUCAUACCCAGGACUACAAUUCCCUUGAUGUCUAUCCACACAAUGUCACACACGUUUUCUGCAUUAAGGCUAAUCAAGGGACGCUGCAUUCACUUCCUGUUCUUGCCUUGAAGAAGGUGUCUGACCGAAAGCUUCUUAAUGCACAGAUUUAAUUGUGUUUAUAAUUAAGUUUGAAGCUCCAGCACAUCAGUAAAGUCCGAUAGUGGGCGAGCAGAGUUUUAUGUUAUAUUCCAAGGAUGGAUUUUUAUUAAUUUACCUUAAAUGUCAAAGGGGUUUUGAAUGAGUUGUUCUUACUUCUGUAACAAAACGUGGAAGUGGAGGUUUCCCUCCGGCUCUCUAUCCUGACUGACUACUGAAGCUGGACCCUUGGAGGUCCCUCACGCCACCGUGCCGGGUGCAGGGCCGCGUCGGAGUGUCCAGAUCUGAAACCCCAAAGUCCCUCUUUCCUGAGUUGAGCACAGCAACAACUUCACCUGUGUAGGGCUCUCGCUCCACAGCUUUCACAGCCUGGCUCUGCAGGACGUUACCUUGGUGCCGCUGUAGAAGUCGUCCGCCGUGGUCGCGUUCAUGAAGCUCUCCUCCAGGUGGACGCUGGUGUCGAUCCCCCCGGGGAGGACCAGUUUUCCCGAGGCGUCGAUCACUUUGGCUCCACCUGGGAUCAUCAUCUCCUUCCCCACCUGCUGGAUGAUGCCGUUCUCGAUGUAGACGUCGGCCUCCUGGGUGCAGUCGUCGUUCACCACCUUGCCGCCCUUUAUCAGGAUCCGCACCAUCGCUGAGCUGGAAGACAUGGCUAUAGCUCUGUCAGGAAGAGAGGAAGAAGACGUCUGUUAACCCUGUUUAGUCAGGCAGUGUGUGAUAGACUGACCACAUCUAAAACAAGAAAAAGAAAGGUUACAGCUACUGCGAGAACUUCCCGUACCUCAUCCUGAGACUGUAGUAAGUCUAGCAGAUACAAGGAUCAGUGAUGCUGCCCUGAGACUAGUCUGUCAGGCUGUGACUGACAUCAGCUACAAGACUGAUGGGCUGUGUCAGUCACCGCCUGUGACCUGGCGUCACAGUGGACAGUGACGUAGUGGCGAAUACAAAGAAGCUGAGUCCAGUUGUGGAUCACAAUAAGGCAGACAAGGGUCAAUCAGGCCUUUAUCUUGAAAGGACAAAAGCAGCAUAAAGCCACUUACGAUGAUGUUAGUGGCAGAAAAAUAUGAACUAAGAAAGUUGAGGUGCGUUCCUUUGCUACAUUCAUGAAAAUGAGCUCUAACCUGCCCCAGUGCUGCCCAACCUGGGGAUCACUACCCCUAAAAGAGGUCACGAGAUUAAUCUAAGGGGUCGUCAGACGAUUACAUGUUACCACUAUUUGACUCAAAGAUUUAAACUGGAUGACUUUUGGACCAGACGAAAUGAAUAAUGGAUUCAGUAACCGAAUUGUAUUCCUUGCAACAUAGAGAGCUGAAACGGCACUCUCACCAUCAUGUCGCUAAAUUACAUUUGCGGAAUUGAAUAAAUAAGUGUGUAUUUAAUUAUUGUUCGUUAUACAAUCCUGGUCUCAACUACAAAGGUUGCUCCGCUCUCUAGUCUUCUCUGAACGACACAAAAAUCACAGGACAAAUAAAGACAAAUUAUUUUCUUGACAUCACUUCUUGGGUAAACUGGGUGUGAUCACUGUUAUUACCUAACCAUCAAUAACAAAGCAAUAAUCUCCAAGAUCUACCUCCUCCCUUCCCUUUAGCACUACUGUAUUAGUGAUGUGUGUGUGUGUGUGUGUGUGUGUGUGUGUGUGUGUGUGUGUGUGUGUGUGUGUGUGUGUGUGUGUGUGUGUGUGUGUGUGUGUGUGUGUGUGUGUGUGUGUGCACCCUGCGUGCUUGCGUGCUCGCAGAAUGCGUACGUAUGAGGGUGCGGCAACUUUACUGCAUGGCAUGGAGUCCUUCACACAUCCAGACCUGAUGGAUGAUAAUGUAGGAUGGGCAUUAACUCGUGCCCUAUUUCCCGUGUUCCCCCAAAAGCCUGGACGCAGCGUCAGGCUUUAAUAAAGUUAUUUUGAAUAUUG